Long non-coding RNA from Capsicum annuum, 364 nucleotides. RefSeq lists it as uncharacterized. The transcript is spliced from 3 exons. Lineage: Eukaryota; Viridiplantae; Streptophyta; Magnoliopsida; Solanales; Solanaceae. The record is from RefSeq and is a predicted model, not a curated record.
AUAAAAUUAGGAAGUUACCAGAGGAGGGCAUAAAACCUACGAUUUUCACCAUUACAAUUUCAAAGAGGGAGUAACGACGACUUAAGACUUGAAUCAUUCAGAAGCUUUAUGGAAAGGCAAGACCUUUGCAAAUUAGCUUGCAUUUGGAUUCUUUGGUUGAGAAAGUGUUCUAGGCUCAGACAUGACCUCACCUCUAGAGUUUGAUAGCAGAUCUUGAUCCAAGGGUGAGCACUCGGUCUCCAGGCUGUCAUGGGCCAUCUUAUUUGUUCUUGUCCAUCUUUCGGGCAAUGAAACAUUCUUUAUUUACUUUAUUUUUGGAUAUCACUUUAGAUAUGAUCUUUGUUAGUAGUUCUUGUACGAUGAC